UGGGGAAUUUUGGACAAUGGGGGCAACCCUGAUCCAGCCAUGCCGCGUGCAGGAUGAAGGUCUUCGGAUUGUAAACUGCUUUUGUCAGGGAAGAAAAGGUCUGUGCUAAUACCAUAGACUGCUGACGGUACCUGAAGAAUAAGCACCGGCUAACUACGUGCCAGCAGCCGCGGUAAUACGUAGGGUGCAAGCGUUAAUCGGAAUUACUGGGCGUAAAGCGUGCGCAGGCGGUUCUGUAAGACAGAUGUGAAAUCCCCGGGCUCAACCUGGGAAUGGCAUUUGUGACUGCAGGACUAGAGUUCAUCAGAGGGGGGUGGAAUUCCAAGUGUAGCAGUGAAAUGCGUAGAUAUUUGGAAGAACACCAAUGGCGAAGGCAGCCCCCUGGGAUGCGACUGACGCUCAUGCACGAAAGCGUGGGGAGCAAACAGG
This 429-nucleotide ribosomal RNA is filed under the name Sutterella sp. enrichment culture. RNAcentral describes it as "bacterial SSU rRNA". It matches the Rfam family "Bacterial small subunit ribosomal RNA", at positions 355 to 776 of the family's 1533-position model. Lineage: Bacteria; Pseudomonadati; Pseudomonadota; Betaproteobacteria; Burkholderiales; Sutterellaceae. The record is from RNAcentral.